UUACUAACGAAAUGUCUCAUAAAAAAGCGAAUUUGGGUUGUCGUACUCCCCACGCAGAAAGAAUCAGAAGCAAUCUUUCGAAUAGGACUGAAGAAGAGCGGAAAUUGGUAUGGGAGACGCAGCGGCUAAGGCAAAUACAGAGGAUUCUUAUAGAACCAGCCGAAAGGCGUGCAGCCAGGUUUGAGCAUGAGCGUUUGCUCCCGCGCACAGAUAAGAUCAUCGUUCUUACAACGAAGAAAAAAUCAGAAGUAUUCUUUCGAUUAGGAUUGAAGAGCGGGAAUUAAUACGGGUUACUGAGCGGCUAAAGCAAAGGCAGAGGAUUCUUAUGGAAGCAUCCGAAGACUAGAUCGACAGGAGCGAUAUUUAUAUGACCCAGCUGCUAAUUAUGGUUCCAGCCGCUAUGUCGUUAUUGGACAGAUACGGGAGACGGAGCGGCUAAGGCAAAUGCAGAAGAUUUUUAUAAAACCAGCCGAAUGGCGUGCAGCCAGGCUGGAGCAUGAACGUUUGCUCCCGAGCAAAGAUAAGACCAAAUCGACAAGCGCAAUACCAUCGUAUUGCAUUUCGAUAUGACCCAGCUGCUGAUUAUGGCCCCGGCCAGAUCAGUCAUCUCUGCACUUACUGUCAGGCUCUAAAGUUCAAUAAUGAAACGAAAGGAAUGUGUUGUGCUGGUGGCAAAAUCAAAUUACCUCAACUUGAAGCACCACCAGAGCCACGGCGAACUCUACUUUCCAGAUCCACUACUGAAUCGGAUCAUUUCCUAUCAAACAUUAGGAAAUAUAAUUCCUGCUUCCAAAUGACGUCAUUUGGGGCGGAAAUUGUGCUUAAGUUGUCCAUCAGCACAAGUCCAUCAGUCUUCACAAUCGAAACAAUUUGACAAAACAUCCACUGGAGAGCAUGUCAGGAGAUAUAAUGCUGCAACUAUAGACGAAGUGGCGAUUGUCAUAGUCGGGGAUCAGUUCCAACCUCGAGAUAUUAUUCUCCAUCGACGAAGCAAUCAUUUGACAAACGUCGCUGAAACAUACCGCAGUUACGAUGGUUUGCAGUAUCCAAUUAACUUCUGGAAUGAUGCCGAUGGAUAUCACUUCAAUGUGAAGAUGGUAGAUCCAGGGAAUGCACUAUGGUCCCAAAGUCGUUUUUUUUUACAUUAAUUAGGAAAAAAAAUAUCUUGAUUUAUAAAAAAAAAAAAAAUUUUUCCAAUUGAGUACACCCCACAAACCAAAGAAAUUAAAGUAUCAAAUAAAUAGUGCAGCCCUGAAAGUUUAA
This is a long non-coding RNA of Drosophila willistoni, 1263 nucleotides long. RefSeq lists it as uncharacterized. The transcript has 2 exons. The record is from RefSeq and is a predicted model, not a curated record. NCBI's taxonomy places the organism in Eukaryota, Metazoa, Arthropoda, Insecta, Diptera, Drosophilidae.